CGCCUGGGGAGUGCGGCCGCAAGGUUAAAACUCAAAUGAAUUGACGGGGGCCCGCACAGGCGGUGGAGCAUGUGGUUUAAUUCGAUGCAACGCGAAGAACCUUACCUACACUUGACAUGCAGAGAACUUUCCAGAGAUGGAUUGGUGCCUUCGGGAACUCUGACACAGGUGCUGCAUGGCUGUCGUCAGCUCGUGUCGUGAGACGUUGGGUUAAGUCCCGCAACGAGCGCAACCCUUGUCCCUAGUUGCCAGCAUUAAGUUGGGCACUCUAAGGAGACUGCCGGUGACAAACCGGAGGAAGGUGGGGACGACGUCAAGUCAUCAUGGCCCUUACGUGUAGGGCUACACACGUGCUACAAUGGCAUUUACAGAGGGAAGCGGGACAGUGAUGUGGAGCGGACCCCUUAAAGAAUGUCGUAGUCCGGAUUGGAGUCUGCAACUCGACUCCAUGAAGUCGGGAAUCGCUAGUAAUCGCAGGUCAGAAUACUGCGGUGAAUACGUUCCCGGGCCUUUGUACACACCGCCCGUCACACCAUGGGAGUGGGAUGCAAAAGAAGUAGUUAGUCUAACCUUCGGGGAGGACGAUUACCACUUUGUGUUUCAUGACUGGGGU
Molecule: ribosomal RNA, 613 nt
Filed under: uncultured Alteromonas sp.
Lineage: Bacteria; Pseudomonadati; Pseudomonadota; Gammaproteobacteria; Alteromonadales; Alteromonadaceae
Description: bacterial SSU rRNA
Rfam family: Bacterial small subunit ribosomal RNA
Source: RNAcentral